GACGAACGCUGGCGGCGUGCCUAAUACAUGCAAGUAGAACGCUGAAGAGAGGAGCUUGCUCUUCUUGGAUGAGUUGCGAACGGGUGAGUAACGCGUAGGUAACCUGCCUUGUAGCGGGGGAUAACUAUUGGAAACGAUAGCUAAUACCGCAUAACAAUGGAUGACACAUGUCAUUUAUUUGAAAGGGGCAAUUGCUCCACUACAAGAUGGACCUGCGUUGUAUUAGCUAGUAGGUGAGGUAAUGGCUCACCUAGGCGACGAUACAUAGCCGACCUGAGAGGGUGAUCGGCCACACUGGGACUGAGACACGGCCCAGACUCCUACGGGAGGCAGCAGUAGGGAAUCUUCGGCAAUGGGGGCAACCCUGACCGAGCAACGCCGCGUGAGUGAAGAAGGGUUUCGGACCGUAAAGCUCUGUUGUAAGUCAAGAACGGGUGUGAGAGUGGAAAGUUCACACUGUGACGGUAGCUUACCAGAAAGGGACGGCUAACUACGUG
RNAcentral lists this ribosomal RNA (497 nucleotides) under uncultured bacterium. RNAcentral describes it as "partial 16S ribosomal RNA". It matches the Rfam family "Bacterial small subunit ribosomal RNA", at positions 28 to 507 of the family's 1533-position model. The record is from RNAcentral.